GGGGCUGUAGCUCAGUGGUACAGCACUUGCCUAGCAUGUGAGAGGCCCUGGGUUCAGUCCCCCAGCCCUG
Molecule: transfer RNA, 70 nt
Filed under: Heterocephalus glaber (naked mole-rat)
Lineage: Eukaryota; Metazoa; Chordata; Mammalia; Rodentia; Bathyergidae
Rfam family: tRNA
About the family: Transfer RNA (tRNA) molecules are approximately 80 nucleotides in length. Their secondary structure includes four short double-helical elements and three loops (D, anti-codon, and T loops).
Source: Rfam by way of RNAcentral